CCGUCGAUCUCCGACAUGGGAUGGCCGUACUGGAGAUCUCGCACGGCAGCGUCAUGGGGCUCGGCUGCCGCUGCUGGUAAACACACAGCAGGGGGCCUGCGUCGGAGGUCCAUGGCCUUGCGGGGCGCCCGCGACAGAAGGGCAGGUGUGUAUGUACGUCUGUAUGGACGUGUGUAUGUAUGGGUGUAUGUAUGGGUGUAUGGGUGUUUAGUAGGUGCUUGCUUGCACGUAACGCACGUACUUGAGGGCAUCUGGAGAAUGCAGCCGGAGAGAAGGAAGGAAGGACGGAUGCAUGCAUGAUGAACUGCUGCUCUCGAACAAGCCGAUUCAACGUCUUGUCAUGGUUGGUAAAUGACUGCUGGAGGAGAGAGGAGGCGAAUGGAACACAGGCAGACUGAUAUGAGAAUUUAUUAAGUCGAGGGAAGAUACAUAAAGAGGUUAGUGGCUUGAAAUGAUCCGCGCUGAGUUCUUCCUGCCGAUCUGUUUGGGGACCUGCAGGUAGGCCUGAUGCGGUCGGAAAGGACA
Molecule: long non-coding RNA, 525 nt
Filed under: Volvox carteri
Lineage: Eukaryota; Viridiplantae; Chlorophyta; Chlorophyceae; Chlamydomonadales; Volvocaceae
Description: long non-coding RNA (VCAR_LNC002354)
Source: RNAcentral